RNAcentral lists this long non-coding RNA (952 nucleotides) under Volvox carteri. Its description in RNAcentral is "long non-coding RNA (VCAR_LNC002023)". The record is from RNAcentral. Lineage: Eukaryota; Viridiplantae; Chlorophyta; Chlorophyceae; Chlamydomonadales; Volvocaceae.
UGAGGUACAGCUCAGGUUUACAAUGACUUGAAGGUCAAAUCUGCAAUCUCCCAAUGAUAAGCUUUCCUUCUCAGCUAGGGGUCUCAUCCGUCAUGAAAAUGCUUGGCUCAUUUAGUCCGUACAAGCUUGUGAACACAGAACUCCAGAAUGCCAUUACUAAAGCGUCCUAUCCAGCAAAAUGAAGAGCAGCGAAAACAUCUUCUAAAAGUAUUGUUUGCGUCGAUUUCGACAAUCUCUCCGUAAGAAUGUUUUCGUGCACCGUUCGUUCGAAAACAUUGACGCGAACGACCGAGCGACGACGUGCAAAAUGCGCGGUGGUCCCUGAAUCUAUACUUGCAAUGGCAUGUGCAGUCAAGUUGGCGUUUCUGCCAUGGAACGGGUGCGAGGUUCCUGGAUCCUUCUAUUCAACAGGCGUCAAAGGUAUACCCGGAAAGGACUGCCAAAAAGUAUAUCAACCAGCUAUAGCAGCGGAGGCACAAGCUGUUCAACGGCUGCGGCAGCAGCAGGUGAGGGUACGGCACCUGCUGCAGAGCGUGCGUACAUCCAACACGGUAUGUGGCAAUCCAGGUUGACGGAUGAGGUGUGCGCUGCCGUUUGGUCCUUAUAGGUUAUUAUUAUGACGUUUGGAUAUGCCCUGGCCCUACCGUCCGCAGGCGAAGGCAGACCUUACCGCAGGGGCGAGUAGUCCCAUUGUUGAAGACGGUCACGAGACCGUUCCUGCCGCUGUAAAGGCGGCUCGUGACGCCUUGAACGAGGAGCUUCGGCAGCGGAACAAGGCCUUAGUCGAUAGCGCGUGGCAGUCGCUGGAGUAAUGCUCUCGGUGGAGUCAUCUAGCCAGAAGCCAGGGACUCUCGAUCUCUUGGGACAAUGGACUAGGUUUAAGACGCACGUCGGGGGCUAUCUGGCCGUUGCACUUCCCGUGCGUUAGCUGUAAUGGGACGAACCAUUCCGA